UGUAUCCUAGAUCAGGCGGGACUACUCGUUGAGUUUAAGCAUAUAAAUAAGCGGAGGAAAAAAAACUAACUAGGAUUCCCUUAGUAACGGCGAACAAAUCAAAAAAAGCCCAAGCUUAGAAUCGGCAACCCCACCGUCUGAAUUGUAGCCUGGAGAAGCAUUCUCAAUGGCCGAUCAAGUAUAAGUCCCCUAGAAUAGGGCAUCAGAGAGGGUGAUAGUUUCAUCGUGCUCGAACCCUGUCAUACUAUGUGACGUGUUCGGCGAGUCAGGUUGUUUGGGAAUACAACCCUAAUCGCCAGUAAAUUCCGUCCAAGGCUAAAUACGAAGAAGAGACCGAUAGCAAAAAGUACCGCGAGGGAAAGAUGAAAAGGACUUUGAAAAAAGAGUCAAAGAGUGCUUGAAAUUGUAGGGACAAAAGCAAAUAGGGGCCGGUGAUGCGCCCCGUUCGGAUGUGGAACGUUGUCUAAAUAGUCCGCCGAUCUGCUCAAGGCAUGGGCCAGUGAGGAUUGAGGCAACAGCCAAAGCUGGGGCUGUAGAUAUGCUCACGGAAAUACUGUUGCCUCAAUCGUGGAGAGGCAACACACGCCAUUGGCGUUCGUCGGCAUCUGUGCACUCCCUGUGUUAACUUGCAAGCUGCCUAUUCGACCUGUCUUGAAACACGAACCAAGAACUCUGACACAUGUGCGAGUUAACGAGUGAGUAAGCUCGUAAGGCGCAAGGAACUACUUGGCGGGAUUCCCUCGACGAGUGCAUCGUCGAUUGAACUUGAUUUUUUUAGAAGAGUUCGAGUGUGAGCAUAUCUGUCGAGACCCAAAAGAUGGUGAACUAUGCCUGAGCAGGGCGAAGCCAAACGAAACUCUGGUGGAGGCCCGUACCAUUACUAAUGUGCAGAUCGUUUGUCAGACUUGGGUAUAGGGUCGAAAGACCAAUCAAACCGUCUAGUAGUUGGUUCCCUCCGAAGUAUCCCUCAAGAUAACUGGAGCUCGCGUGCAAGUUCUAUCGGGUAAAGCUAAUGAUUAGGGCAUCGUAGGUGCAAUGCCCUCAACAUAUUCUCAAACUUUAAAUAGAUAGGACGGGGCAACUGCUUUGUUGAGUCGUCCCAUAUAAUCAAGAGCUCCAAGUGGGCCUUUUUUGGUAAGCAAAACUGGCGAUAUAGAAUGAACCAGAAACCGGGUUACGGUGCCCAAUAGCACGCUAACUUAAAUACCACAAAGGGUGUUGUCGACUAAGACAACAAGACGGUGGUCAUAGAAGUCGAAAUCUGCUAAGGAAUGUGUAACAACUCGCAUGUCGAAUCAACUAGGCCCGAAAAUAGAUGGCGCUCAAGAACACGACCCAUAACCAGCUAUCGGGCAAGUGCCUGGCCCUGAUGAGUAGAAGGGCGUGGUGGUUGCUGCAAAACCUAGGGCAUGAUCCCAGGCGGAGCAGCCGUCAGUGCAGAUCUUUGUGGUAAUAGCAAAUAUUCAAAUGGGAACUUUGAAGGCCGAAGAGGCGAAAGGUUCCAUGUGAACGGCACUUGCACAUGGGUUAGCCGAUCCUAAGGGUCGGGAGAAGCUCAACAGAUAGCGCGUUCCAUGAGUGCUCCGAAAGAUAAUUGGGUUAAAAUUCCUAAACCAGAAUGUGGUGCCGAUGGCAACGUUAGGGAGUCCAUAGACGUCGAUAGGGGCCUUGGGAAGAGUUAUCUUUUCUAUUUAAUAACCUUUCCACCCUAGAAAUGGCUCAGCUGGAGGUAGGGUCCAGCAGCUGGAAGGCACUGCCCAUCGCAUGGUGUUCGGUGCGCCCCCAGCAGCCCUUGAAAAUCUGGAGGAUCGAGUGUCGUUCACGCUUGGUCGUAUUCAUAACCGCAUAAGGUCUCCAAGGUGAACAACCUCUGGUCGAUGGAACAAUGUAGGCAAAGGAAGUGAGCAAAAUAGAUCUGUAACCUCGGGAAAAGGAUUGGCUCUGAGGGCUGGGCACGGGGUCCCAAUCUCGAACCCUUCGGCUAUCGGUGGAUUGCUCGAGCUGCUCCCGUAGCGAGAGCGGGUCACUGCGUGCCUGCCGGGGGACGAACUGGGAAUGGCUUCCUCAUGGGUCUUCCUCGGGUGCCGAACAGCAAACUCAGAACUGGUAUGGACAAGGAGAAUCUGAUAGUUUAAUUAAAACGAAGCAUUGCGAUAGUCCCUACGGAUGCUAAUGCCAAUAUGAUUUCUGCCUAGUGCUCUGAAUGUCAAAGUGAAGAAAUUCAACCAAGCGCGGGGAAGCUGCGGGAGUAACUAUGACUCUCCUAAGGUAGCCAAAUAACUUGUCAUCUAGUUAGUGAUCCGCAUGAAUUGAUUAACGAGAUUCCCACUGUCCCUGUCUACUAUCCAGUGAAACCACAACCAAGGGAAUAGACUUAGAAUCAACAGGGAAAGAAGACUUGUUGAGCUUGACUCUAGUCCGAUUUUGUGAAAUGACUUGAGAGAUGUAGUAUAAGUGGGAGCCCUCAGGUAAAAGUGAAAUACCACUACAUUUUAAUAUUAUUUUACUUAUUCCAUAAUCGAAGAUGGGGCCUAUGCCCCUCUUUUUGGACCGAAGGUUGCCUCGGAGGCCGAUCUAGGAGAAAGACAUUGUGAGGUGGGGAGUUUGACUGAGCCGGCACAUCAAUUAGAAGAUAACGCUAGUGUCCUAAGAUGAGCUCAACGAGAACAUAAAUCUCUUGUGGAACAGAAGGGAAAAAGCUUGUUUGAUUCUGAUUUCCAGUAUGAAUACGAACCAUGAAAGUGCGGCCCAACGAUCCUUUAGACCUUCAGAAUUUGAAGCUAGAGGUGGUAGCCAGGCAUUCAUAGCGACGUUGCUUUUUUAUCCUUCAAUGUCGGCUCUUUCUAUCAUUAUGAAGCAGAAUUUACCAAGUGUUGGAUUGUUCACCCAUCAUAGGAAACGUGAGCUGGGUUUAGAACGUCGUGACACAGGUUAGUUUUACCGUACUGAUGACAAUGUUGCAAUAGUAAUUCAACCUAGUAUGAGAGGAAUCGUUGGUUCAUACAAUUGUUCAUCCCACUUGGUUAAAAAGCCAGUGGCACGAAACUAUCGUACGUUGGAUUAUGACUGAACACCUCUAAGUCAGAAUCCAAGCUAGAAGCGAUGUGUACGCCCGUCGUCCAUUUGCCGACCCGCAGUAGGGGCCUUUAUCCCCCAAGAGCACAUGUCGUUAGCUAGGCCGGCGUGGCAGAAGAGCCGCUAAGGUCACCUUG
This 3212-nucleotide ribosomal RNA is filed under the name Catharanthus roseus (Madagascar periwinkle). Its description in RNAcentral is "eukaryotic LSU rRNA". It matches the Rfam family "Eukaryotic large subunit ribosomal RNA". Lineage: Eukaryota; Viridiplantae; Streptophyta; Magnoliopsida; Gentianales; Apocynaceae. The record is from RNAcentral.